GUGAACGUUACCAAACUGUUGCCUCGGCGGGAUCUCUGCCCCGGGUGCGUCGCAGCCCCGGACCAAGGCGCCCGCCGGAGGACCAACCAAAACUCUUAUUGUAUACCCCCUCGCGGGUUUUUUACUAUCUGAGCCAUCUCGGCGCCCCUCGUGGGCGUUUCGAAAAUGAAUCAAAACUUUCAACAACGGAUCUCUUGGUUCUGGCAUCGAUGAAGAACGCAGCGAAAUGCGAUAAGUAAUGUGAAUUGCAGAAUUCAGUGAAUCAUCGAAUCUUUGAACGCACAUUGCGCCCGCCAGUAUUCUGGCGGGCAUGCCUGUCCGAGCGUCAUUUCAACCCUCGAACCCCUCCGGGGGGUCGGCGUUGGGGAUCGGCCCUUUACGGGGCCGGCCCCGAAAUACAGUGGCGGUCUCGCCGCAGCCUCUCCUGCGCAGUAGUUUGCACACUCGCAUCGGGAGCGCGGCGCGUCCACAGCCGUUAAACACCCCAAACUUCUGAAAUGUUGACCUCGGAUCAGGUAGGAAUACCCGCUGAACUUAAGCAUAUCAAUAAGCGGA
RNAcentral lists this ribosomal RNA (555 nucleotides) under Trichoderma virens. Its description in RNAcentral is "eukaryotic LSU rRNA". The stretch from base 175 to 328 matches the Rfam family "5.8S ribosomal RNA". Lineage: Eukaryota; Fungi; Ascomycota; Sordariomycetes; Hypocreales; Hypocreaceae. The record is from RNAcentral.